RNAcentral lists this ribosomal RNA (430 nucleotides) under uncultured bacterium. RNAcentral describes it as "bacterial SSU rRNA". It matches the Rfam family "Bacterial small subunit ribosomal RNA", at positions 355 to 776 of the family's 1533-position model. The record is from RNAcentral.
UCGAGAGGCUUCGGCAAUGGGGGAAACCCUGACCGAGCGACGCCGCGUGAGGGAUGAAGGCCCUUGGGUUGUAAACCUCUUUUGUUCGGGAAGAAAUGUGAUCAGGUUAAUAAUCUGGUUACUUGACGGUACCGGACGAAUAAGCUCCGGCUAACUCCGUGCCAGCAGCCGCGGUAAUACGGGGGGAGCAAGCGUUGUUCGGAAUCACUGGGCGUAAAGGGCGUGUAGGCGGCUAGGUAAGUGGGACGUGAAAUGCCUCGGCUCACCCGAGGACCGGCGUCCCAAACUGCCUGGCUUGAGUAUGGGAGAGGAUGUGGGAAUUCCUGGUGUAGCGGUGAAAUGCGUAGAUAUCAGGAGGAACACCGGUGGCGAAGGCGCACAUCUGGCCCAAUACUGACGCUGAGGCGCGAAAGCUAGGGGAGCAAACGGG